AAACUAAAAGGCAGUCACUCCAGCGGAAGUUCUAAGGAACUCCUUUCAUUGGCCCAGGGUCUUGGAGAAGGUGGGGCUUCCUCCCAGGAUAAAAUUCCGUGUCCACACACCUGGCCGGAUUUGCAGCUCUCUGGAA
Molecule: long non-coding RNA, 136 nt
Organism: Sapajus apella (tufted capuchin)
Lineage: Eukaryota; Metazoa; Chordata; Mammalia; Primates; Cebidae
Exons: 3
Source: RefSeq, a predicted model, not a curated record